Molecule: RNA transcript, 5769 nt
Organism: Hordeum vulgare subsp. vulgare (domesticated barley)
Lineage: Eukaryota; Viridiplantae; Streptophyta; Magnoliopsida; Poales; Poaceae
Exons: 11
Source: RefSeq, a predicted model, not a curated record
AAACAAAAGAAUAUUCCUGUGUCGUUGUCCACCUAAAUGUAUCAGUAUGAUCUGCUUUCAUGCCAAAAUUUAUGCGCCGCUUGCAGAGGGGAAAUGCCAACUAAUUUCAGAUUUGCUUGAACCAAAAGCGGGCUAAGGAAAUUAUUGGUUACUGCGUACGGGGCAACAAAGUUUCCACUCUGUAGUAAGUGGUAGUUCCGGUUUUGGUGUUCUUUGCCAAAGUAGAUGUCGAUUUUUUUUUCUGUAGUAUGCCUGUUACAUGCCGCCUUGGUCAUUGUUGAAUGCUAACUCCUAUGGAACUGAUAAUUCUAUUCUUGAUCCCUUAGAGAAAAUCGCUGAAAAUGAUAAGUCCAGGUAUAUGUUUGCGUUUAUGACUUCUGUGGAAGAUCAUUAUAACCACAAAAACAAAGAAUAAUGCUUUGCCGUUUUCCACCCAAAUGUAUCAGUGCUUUCAUGCCAAAAGUUAUUUAUCAUGCAUGUUCUAUUUUCAUUUCAUUAUGUUUUAGGUUCCAUCAUACUAUUAUGUUACUUAGAAAUAAAUUUCUAAUGCGUGUCUUUUUUCUUCUUUUGAUUUCUUUACCUUUUUUCCUAAGGAUCUAUUGUCUCUGUUUCUAAAUGACAUAGUUGACCUUACUCUAGCUAUGAACGUUCAAGUUGGAAAAGAUAACCUAUCUGGGACACUAAAGCAGGAUCUACAAAUGAAUUGGCCUUGUCAUAUACAUCUGUCAGUAGUCAUUGGAACUUAACCAAUGGAGGUCCCAUAAAUAACAAGCAAAUCCAAUGAAGGAUGGAUUUAUAUUUGUUGAGGGAAGGUUCCGAACAAAAGAACAUGAGAAUUGCCCACUGCAAGCUGCAGCUUGGCUAAGGAAAAAAUUCUUUGUUCUUAUCUGUCUGCUAUUCAGUGUCUAAAUAUGUGAAAUCAUAUCCAUUCACAAAACCACAUACAUAUGUUUUGGCAGCAAAACCAGCCAAUGUGAAACUGUAGAUUUCAGAAUCGCAAAGCCACAAAAUUCAGCUAAUUCUCAAAAUUGUGUCAAGAUGGUGCUCGGUGAGAUCAAACUCCUUCCACAUGAGAGCAUAUGGCAUAAACUCUGCUCUUUUCUUUUUUUCUUUCUGAGAAUUACUCCUCAAUUUAUCUGGUAGAUAUCCUUUUGUUAGUAAGAAAUCCAUCUAAUUUAAUGUGAUUUAGAUAUGCUUCUUCCGGUCAUUGGCUGAUUUUGUUGCUGAAAUCUGCGCUUACUUCUCUUUCUACCAUUGCUUCAUGUCAUUAGUUGAAUUCACGCCUUACAGUUAGCUGUUCGUAGCUGCAGAACCAUAGGGAAUUCGAUCCAAUGGUUUGUAAACUACUGGAACAAUAUCAUGUGAAAAAAUUAGUGUCCUGGUUAUAUUUUGCCUCUCUUUUAUGUGGUGAUGUUUUCUGCUUGCCGUCGUGUUUAUGGAUUAUUUGUUAGUCUGCUUUGGUUGUCAGAUUACCGCUGUUUGUGAUCUUGUAACAGAUUUCCAUGGUGUUGCUUUUUUUGCCCGUGGUGCUUUCUGUUGUUUCCAUACAUGUUAAAUCUGGAGUACGUACUUAUAGAAAUGAAAAUACUGUUUUAAUUCCUGCCACAGUGAAGUCGCUGUGUAGGUAAUGUUCACAACAGAUUUGAAGAUCAUAGUUUUUCUAUUUGCACGAUCUUACUUUUUUUAAAACUAUUUGCACGAUCUUACUUAGAUGUAGUAGACCUGGAGAUAGAUAGCCUUGGGCACAAAAUUGGGGAGUGGCUUAACCUAAACACACAUGAGUUAGUGAGUCCCACGAUCUUACUUUUCAUCUGAAUUUUAACCGGUGGUGUCGAUAUUUAAAGCUAGGCCCCGGCUUACUCAAAUGGCAGCGAGGUUCGGUGAUCCCUUGCAUACCAUCCAGAUUUCUUAAUUUGGUCCAACUUUUACACAAAAACUAACAUUCCCAAUAAGUUAUUAAUGGCGAUAAUUUUGUUGGUUCUGUGUCUUGAUUCCUGUUUAGAUUCCAUACACAAAGCAAGGAAGUAAAUAACUCCAUUCUCUUAUUUCUAGGUAGGAUGUAUAAGGUUUUACACAUGCAUGAAAUAUAAAUCAAGAGGGUUGCGUGUUGAAUGAGAGAUAUAUGAGUUUGAUUUUAUUUUUCUAAGGUUUUAAAUGCUUCUAGAAUUUUAAAAAUACGAUUGCUUUGUAAGAGUGUUUGUCACACCAAAGUGUUAUGUAUUGAUAACCAAGAAGAAUGGGUGAAGAGGAUGGAAUAAGUGACUGUAACUACAUUACAUUUUUGACAUAUUAGGUGUGCAUGGGCAAGUACUUAGAUGAUGCUAGACGGGUCCAAUCGCAGCAAUAAGAGCCAAAUGUAAGUUAAGAGGCGGGCGGAGUGGGUAUAGUAAGUGACACAAACCUUAUCAAAGAUUGUCUAAUCAAGGUAGGGGAAGGUGCAUAGAUGAUGGCAAAGCGAUGGUGAGUACGAUGAUGAUGGGGCUAAACAACCAUUGUUGAUCUAAAGGCACACCCGAAGGGGACGGUGGAGAGACCAUCAAUGUAACAGUACCUAUAGUAAGACUAACCAAUGUAGGGAAAGAUACAAGCACAAGGACGAAGAAACAACGAGGCAACUGAAUCACACGGUCACCUUUUUCCUAGAGAUUUGUCAAGGGGUGAUGAACCUUUUUGUAUACUGAAUUAAUCACAAUGAUAAAUAUAUGCACCUGAAAUUUGAGUAUGAGUCAUGUGGGUUUUAUUUAAAGUGUAGAUAUAAUGUGACAUUUGUCACAAGAAUCAUAUGCUACGCGUGACAUACAUAACGUAAAAUAUAACAAUAUUAAGAUCAAUUUUUAUCUAUAUAUAUUAUUGAUGUACGUGAAUAACUCAUACAAAUUAUUACUAUCUAGAAAAUAGAAUAAGGUUUUUUUAAUUUUAUAAAUAAAUUUGAUGCAUCUGAUGAUACGUGCAUUUGCACGUGCACCAUUACUAGUAUUAACAAGGGAAAUCAAGUGGGCAUGCCAUAUUAAUCCCCUAAUAACGAGGUAGUGGGGAGACGCCGUACGUGGGUUUACCAGCCGCCACGGUACGUGUGCUAACCGUUUAGGAGAUAGAUAGCUAGCGUUUCCGUGAUUUUAUGAUCGGAUUAGAUCGGUUUCAGGUUACAAAAAAUAUCUGUUGUCGACGGCGAAGAGCGCGAGGUGAAACACGACGUGCUGACGGCGGGCUUUUCUCGAUGGCAAGUGACCGGCGGUGCUCGCCGACGGUCGUCGUUCAUACGGUCCACCUCCCCGUUUUAUUCUCAUCAGCAGGUACCCUAGGGAUUAGACGAGCGUUGUGCCUGGUUGCUCGUGGUACAGCCGUGAGCGGUUGGUGGUCAUCGCCGCGGUGCUGCAUGCAUUGGGUGAUCGCCACCGGGUUGCUCCAUUCUGACGGCGCCGUCCUCCCCUGGUUCUACUUUAGUCUCCAAUUAUCUACAAACAUGUUCAAAUAAGUUUACAUUCUUAGAAACAUUCUUCAAUUCUUUCACAGUGACAGGUUAUCGUCGAUUUGCUGCAGAGUAAGCAGUGGUUGUUUCCUUUUUGAUGCGGUCUGCAUCUCCAUCCACCACGUCAGACCGCAACCAGGCCUUCGCCCCUGGGGCUCUUCCGUAUCGCCCCCUCUCCGUAAAUUUGCAUGUAGUGAUGAAAUCUACAUGCACUACCAGAAGGUUACAUGUCUGUACGGACAAUAUUGGGGCAAUAGGUGGACAUCAAGACAAGAAUGUGGCUAUUAAAAGAAAGGAAAGGGCAGCCACACCGAGCGAUGAUGAUUUUGUUCACCCGCCAGCCCGUGUGACCAAGGCCUCGAAAGCUGCUAAUAGGAAGUCCAAAAAGGAGUGAGGUGGGCAGUUGCUACAUGGAGGGUGCAGACCCUCGAACUGGUGGCAUUCCUCCAAGCAGUUCAGAUAUUCCAUAUGGGACCUAUCCUUCUUGCCCUGCACCUAUUCUUAGCAUGCAUCAUCAUCUCGCGGGUUUCUUUGAUCAUUUGUCUGAGGCACAACAGGUAGCGGCCAUGUCGGCGUUGCGAAGGUGCGAUGACGACAUCCAUAGGCUAGUCCUGAACAUAUGUGAUCGACAGAUGAUGGUAGCUGAGGAAAUCAAGAGCAUAGUGCUGGAUUCUCGAUCGAACGCACCGCCACCACCACCACCACCAAGCAAAAAGGCUGCUCCGACUGGCGCUCAAUUUCCCUUGUCAAGUGUGGAAACAGAUUCAAAUAUGCAUGAAGAAAGGCAGCACCCAUGCCCCACAACUGAUGUUGCUAACUCUGGAAAUGUGAUGCUUAAUGAGGGGCGUGACAAUGUUUUAGAUACAUGCAACCUUAGUUGCACUCAGAUUCUUAUGGCUGCUGGGUUUUUGAAAUCUCGACAAGAUGAAAUUUUAGAUGGAACAUUUGGUAGUCAGUGGAAUUCACAGUGUAUCUAUAAUGAUCCCAGCCACGAAGUUCUAUGGAAUGGCAUGUGCAAAACUUGCUAUGAUAAUGGUGAAAUGGGCAACUUAUAUAAUGAAGGACAUUUCGCUGAAGAGCGUGUGGAUUCCUCCACUAGUGCUGACGAAGAGUUUACUGGACUCGGUGCUCCUAUUUAUGACGAGACACCAAAAGAACAUGAGAAUGUACCUCCUAUUGUCUUUGACAAGACACCAGAUGAUGCGACUGGCUCGCUGACCCGAUUAGCAAAUAUCACUGAAAAUGUGAUGGAACCAUGGAAAGAGUCUCCUCAACUACGAGAUGCUGCGAUGAAAAAGAUGGUUGGUCAGCACGAGUGUGUACACACCCCUACGUUUGAUCAGACACCGGAGCACCUACGUCCGGAAACUCGAUACAAGUCACGUUCACUCCGUGACAUGUGGUCACGGUUGCCAUGAAACCUGGUCAACACAUUCAUGGUGGCAUUAGGAGAAACGUCGCAGGUCUCCAGGUCAUCAAUGAGCUCCAUGAUAACAGGGUCUUUGUUCUUGUGUGAACGAAUGUGCUUCAACUCGCACGCAUCAGGAUUCAGAGUAUGAUUGUGCUCUAAUAGUACUUUCUCAUAUAUCCAUUCUUUCCCUUUCUUCUUCAUCUUAACCGCUGCCUUGCAGUUAACCCUCUUGGACAUCUUCGCACGUUUCCGUUCCUCCCCGGGCUUGUAGAAUGUAGAAUUACCUUCCCGAGAGCAUGCAUAGAGACGCGGCAUCGGCUUCCUCUUCAGCUUGGUAAUACCAAAACCCGCUGCUCUUGCAUAUUGUCGAUAAAAGUCAUACCCUUCUUCAUCUUAACCGCUGCCUUGCAGUUAACCCUCUUGGACAUCUUCACACAUUUCCGUUCCUCCCCGGGCUUGUAGAAUGUAGAAUUACCUUCCCGAGAGCAUGCAUAGAGACGCGACAUCGACUUCCUCUUCAGCUUGGUUCGCCGGCGGGGGCGACAAGCUUCGGCAGGACGUGAGGCCGCCUAGCCGUGAAGGAGGCGGAGCCAGCCGCUACCCCGUCGAGGGUGUGACGCCGCCUAAACGUGGAGGCAACUAAGCCUCGGAGCCGUUAAGGCCGUGGAGUUGUAGAUCCGACGCCGUCGAGCUGCGGAGCUGGCGCCUCGACGUCGCUGAGCUGUCGAGGCCACGAAUGGUUUCGGAGGAACAAGAGAGAAGCUCUCUAUAACUGAACUAGUGUUCUAGUUUAUACUGCUACAUGUGCAGAAUUGAUAAGAUUUGAAUGUCACUUGUACAUGUGCAGAGUUGAACAGAUUUGAAUGGCAAAUGCUCAUGCUUUCUUGAA